This 144-nucleotide small RNA is filed under the name Desulfofarcimen acetoxidans. RNAcentral describes it as "Desulfotomaculum acetoxidans c-di-AMP sequence". It matches the Rfam family "c-di-AMP riboswitch aptamer (ydaO/yuaA leader)". Rfam says of the family: This family represents a conserved RNA structure found upstream of the ydaO and yuaA genes in Bacillus subtilis and related genes in other bacteria. The ydaO/yuaA element is thought to act as a genetic "off" switch for the ydaO and yuaA genes in its native state. It is believed that the element may be triggered during osmotic shock leading to activation of ydaO, a predicted amino acid transporter gene, and members of the yuaA-yubG operon which code for KtrA and KtrB K+ transporters. RNAcentral also lists the same sequence under 1 other name. The record is from RNAcentral. Lineage: Bacteria; Bacillati; Bacillota; Clostridia; Eubacteriales; Peptococcaceae.
AAUUUUCUAUCGCUGAAUUCAUUUAGAAGCGGGGGAACCACUUCCUGGGGUGAGUCCUUAUUGAGUUUAAAAAUUCAAUUAAGGUAGGGUUAUUCUUCGGCCCGAAUCCGUCAGCUAACUUCGUAAGCGUUGAAGGAAAAGAGA